UUAGGUUCACUCCCUAUGAUGACUUUUAGGUUCACCAACCAAUAGAAUUGUGUUAUUUCAUACUUGAAAUCUUUUAAAAAAAGAAACAAAAUAUUUUUUCAAGCUAUAAGUUAUAUUAUAUAUUUAAAAUAAAAAGAUAAAAAGAAAUAAAUUUAAAAAAUAUAGUAACUAAAAAAAUAUAUUUUUAACGUCCUCAGCAAAAUACUAAACCCUAAAUCCUAAUUCCUAAACCCUAAAUCCU
Molecule: long non-coding RNA, 241 nt
Filed under: Brassica rapa (field mustard)
Lineage: Eukaryota; Viridiplantae; Streptophyta; Magnoliopsida; Brassicales; Brassicaceae
Description: long non-coding RNA (BRAP_LNC003312)
Source: RNAcentral